RNAcentral lists this transfer RNA (62 nucleotides) under Bostrichoidea sp. KM-2015. RNAcentral describes it as "tRNA-Gly". The record is from RNAcentral. RNAcentral also lists the same sequence under 1 other name. Lineage: Eukaryota; Metazoa; Arthropoda; Insecta; Coleoptera.
AUUUGUCUAAUAUAAAAAUUAUAUUUGACUUCCAAUCAAAAAAUCCCUAAAGGGGACAAAUA